CACUAUCACCAUGGCCCCAUCGCGGUCACCAUGUACUAUGAAAUGCAUGAGCAUACUCUAACUCUUUUCACCAUAAUCAUUAAGUAAAUGCAGCUAUUAAAAGAUUCCUCAUUUUUAAUACUCAUUUAACACUAAUGAUUUUUCAAACACAACACAGAGCAUACUCAAACAUAUUUAUUCACACCAAUUAAAAUUUCCACAACCACACAUAAAUCACAACUCCAAAUUCCAUUCACACCUAAAUUGAAUUAAAUUCAUUUUCCACCAAGUCACACAUAAAUUUCUUCUUAAAAAUUCAUAAUAUUAAUUAUGAACACAUCAAUUUCACCAAACAUGAAUCACCAAAAUUUCCAAACAUUAAUCACCCAUAUUCAAUCUCCAAAAUUUUCAACCAUAAAUCACCAACACAACAUUAAUAAAUCAGAGUUCUCCCCACCGCUAACUCGGUGCCAACGGUCUCGAUUUAUUUUC
RNAcentral lists this long non-coding RNA (471 nucleotides) under Cicer arietinum (chickpea). RNAcentral's name for it is "long non-coding RNA (CARI_LNC003065)". Lineage: Eukaryota; Viridiplantae; Streptophyta; Magnoliopsida; Fabales; Fabaceae. The record is from RNAcentral.